GGUAAGGUGGCUGAAGUUAUAGGCGGUAGACUGUAAAUCUAUUUAUGGGAAUGUUCUCUCUUAUCA
RNAcentral lists this transfer RNA (66 nucleotides) under Ramburiella turcomana. Its description in RNAcentral is "tRNA-Tyr". It matches the Rfam family "tRNA". Rfam says of the family: Transfer RNA (tRNA) molecules are approximately 80 nucleotides in length. Lineage: Eukaryota; Metazoa; Arthropoda; Insecta; Orthoptera; Acrididae. The record is from RNAcentral.